RNAcentral lists this ribosomal RNA (442 nucleotides) under uncultured bacterium. RNAcentral describes it as "partial 16S ribosomal RNA". It matches the Rfam family "Bacterial small subunit ribosomal RNA", at positions 338 to 795 of the family's 1533-position model. The record is from RNAcentral.
CCUACGGGGGGCUGCAGUUGGGAAUCUUGCACAAUGGGGGGAACCCUGAUGCAGCGACGCCGCGUGGAGGAUGACGGAUCUAGGUCUGUAAACUCCUUUUUCAUGGAAAGACUUAGGACGGUACCAUGAGAAUAAGGACCGGCUAACUACGUGCCAGCAGCCGCGGUAAGACGUAGGGUCCAAGCGUUGUCCGGAUUUACUGGGCGUAAAGAGCGCGUAGGCGGUCUGUUAAGUGUGAAGUGAAAUCUCCAGGGCUCAACCCGGAAACUGCUUCGCAUACUGGCAGACUUGAGGAAUGCAGAGGUUUGUGGAAUUCCUGGUGUAACGGUGAAAUGUGUUGAUAUCAGGAGGAACACCCAUGGCGAAGGCAGCAAACUGGGCAUUAUCUGACGCUGAGGCGCGAAAGCGUGGGUAGCAAACAGGAUUAGAUACCCGAGUAGUC